CCAAUGUGCCAGGUCGAUAACUGUAAGGAAGAUCUAACUAGUGCAAAGGACUAUCACCGCCGUCAUAAAGUUUGUGAGGUUCAUAGCAAAUCCACUAAAGCUCUUGUCGGGAAGCAGAUGCAAAGGUUUUGUCAGCAGUGUAGCAGGUUUCAUCCACUUUCUGAGUUUGAUGAGGGGAAGAGAAGUUGUAGGCGUAGGCUUGCUGGGCACAACCGACGGAGGAGGAAAACCCAACCUGAGGAUGUUACCUCAAGGCUGCUACUCCCUGGAAACCGGGAUUCCUCAGGAAAUGCAAAUUUAGAUAUAGUUAACUUGUUAACUGCUUUGGCACGCACUCAAGGGGAGAAUGAGGGAAAAAUUAUCAAUAACGCACCAGUGCCAGAUAGGGACCAACUCAUUCAAAUUCUGAGUAAAAUAAAUUCAUUACCUUUGCCAAUGGAUCUAGCUGCUAAGCUUUCAAAUAUCAAAAGUCUAAAUAGGAAAAAUCCUGAACAACCAUUAUCCGAUCUCCAAAAUGGGUUGCUUGGAACUACAUCUUCACCAUCAACUAUGGACUUACUUGCUGUUCUUUCAGCAACUUUGACAGCAUCUGCACCAGAUGCUCUUGCAAUUCUAUCUCAAAGAAGCAGCCAGAGCAGUGACAGUGAGAAAUCUAAGUCGACUUGCCCUGAUCAAGCAACAGGUCACAAUCUGCAGAACAGACCUAUUGUAGAAUUCCCAUCUGUGGGUGGUGAGAGAAAUAGUAGCUGUUACCAAUCUCCUGUUAAAGAUUCAGACUACCGGCUUCAAGAAAGUUGUCCUAAUUUACCUUUACAGCUGUUUAGCUCAUCACCUGAGGAUAAUAGUCCACCAAAACUGGCAUCUUCUAGGAAGUAUUUCUCUUCUGGCAGUAGUAAUCCAAGUGAAGGUAGAUCUCCAUCAUCAUCUCCUCCACUUAUGCAGAGGUUGUUUCCAUUGCAAAGCACAGCAGAGACUGUGAAAUCUGAGAAGAUGUCAAUCAGUAGAGAGGUCAAUGCCAACGCUGAAGGUAGCAGAACUCAUGGAUGUGUUGUGCCUCUUGAGCUCUUUAGAGAUUCAAAUGGAGGAGCUGAUCAAAGUUCAUUUCAAACUUUUCCAUAUCAAGCUGGAUAUACAUCUUCCUCUGGGUCAGAUCAUUCACCUUCUAGUCAGAACUCUGAUGCUCAGGAUCGCAGUGGGCGAAUAAUUUUUAAACUCUUUGACAAAGAUCCGAGCCAUUUUCCAGGGAAACUUCGAGCACAGAUCUAUAAUUGGCUUUCUAACAGUCCAUCUGAAAUGGAGAGCUACAUAAGGCCUGGUUGUGUGGUUCUCUCAGUUUAUUUGUCUAUGUCAUCUGCAACUUGGGAUCAACUUGAAAGAAACCUGCUUCAGCAAGUCUAUUCUUUGGUUCAAGAUUCAGAAUCUGAUUUUUGGAGGAGUGGGAGAUUUUUAUUACAUACGAGCAGGCAAUUAGCAUCGCAUAAAGAUGGAAAUAUUCGUUUAUGCAAAUCCUGGAG
Molecule: unclassified non-coding RNA, 1514 nt
Filed under: Hevea brasiliensis (rubber tree)
Lineage: Eukaryota; Viridiplantae; Streptophyta; Magnoliopsida; Malpighiales; Euphorbiaceae
Source: RNAcentral